Molecule: microRNA, 20 nt
Filed under: Pongo pygmaeus (Bornean orangutan)
Lineage: Eukaryota; Metazoa; Chordata; Mammalia; Primates; Hominidae
Description: ppy-miR-1228
Source: miRBase by way of RNAcentral
UCACACCUGCCUCACCCCCC